Long non-coding RNA from Pseudopipra pipra, 8250 nucleotides. RefSeq lists it as uncharacterized. Lineage: Eukaryota; Metazoa; Chordata; Aves; Passeriformes; Pipridae. The record is from RefSeq and is a predicted model, not a curated record. The transcript is spliced from 2 exons.
GGCGGCGGCCGGACAGCGGGUCCGCCAGGGCCGGGGGAGCGCAGAGCGGCGGCGGGACUGAGGACGAGGAGAGGGGAGGUAGCGGAGGGGGGUGUGUGAGCCCCCCCUACCCCUCACCCCGACCGCCGUGCUGGGGGUGUGACCCCGACCUGGGAGCGCCUGCUGAGGGUGGCCUAAAGGGGCCAACACCGCCCGGGCGGAGGCACAGCCAGUCCCUGGCGUCGCCAGGUGAGCGCAGGGAUUACGAAGGCGCUUCCAUUCAUUCUUACGGCUGAAAGACCAAUGUAAACCGGUGGCACAGAGUCAAACGUUUCUUUCUGAUAACCGCUGUUGUACGGUAUUCUGUACUCGGCUUUUGUUUUUCUUUUAGUACUAGUUUGCAUUUUUGGAUUAUCUAGUCAGUGGUCAGGUAAAAAGUAUUACUCGUCUCAAUCGUUGUUAGAUUGGCGGAGAUAAUUAUUAUUUGUGACUCAUUAUUGAACUUCCUUUUCAACUAAAAUCAACUGGAAGAUCAAUCAUCACUUUUGGAGAGAAAACUUGUAGAGGUGUGAUUCGAGACACUGGCUCUCAUCUGCAAGCUACAGCAUGAAUGCCUUAGCACUAAAAGUCUCUGCACACUGUAAAAUGGUCCUUUCAAAUGGUGUUUCCAGCCUGAUAGCCAGGCAUGCUUUGUUAGCACAGUAAAGGUCAUAGUGCACAGAGGGAUAAGCAUAAUUGGAAUGCAGCGAAACAGCUAUGAUGCAGCCAUCAGCAUAAUUAGAAGUAAAAAAUCCACAAACUCUUCUUAGACCUUUAAGCCCAUGUUAAUUUACAGCCAUAUUGCCAGCAGGUAUACCAUGUAUAAGCAUUUGAAAGAAACCAAGACAGUUCACAUAUUCCUGCAAAGUGAACGUACAGAGCUGUUCUUUUGUGCUACCAGGACUGUUGGACAUGUCCUGAAAUCAUCUUAGUAAAAUGUGAAAGAAUGCUUCCAGAGAUGGCAAAAGCCCUUGAAAUAAAAUAAUCAGACUUAAUUAAGGUUCAAUAAAUAUCUGAUAUAAAAAACAACUUAAAUUUUAAAAGAUACGUGUGUGCAUUUUCAGUGUGUCUUUAGUUAUCUGUGACAUAUUUUAGUUAAUGUAUAUAAGUUACAAUGUAAUGUCUGUUUUCCCAUCUACUCACUUGUGCUUAUUGUAACACAAUAAACCAGGAAAAAGCUUGGAGAACUUGGCCAUGUUUGACUGUAAAUACAAACUGUUACAGGUAAAGACAUAUAUGUGUAUAACUUUAAGAAUGUAAGUUAUAGUCCAUUUGAGUCCUCUUGUCAGUAUGUGUUAGGCCAAGCCCUGCAAACACUCCUAGUUACAACUUUGAUAGCACAACUAACCUCAUUAUUUGUAGUAGUAUUAAUCAUCUUCAAACACUGGCUGACGAAUUAAAGGACUUGAAAAGCCCACUUUUUUAUAUCAGAAUUUCUUUCCUUUUCUUACCUUCUAUGUGCUUAGCCCAUGAAUGCAUUCUUUAAUUGGACUGUACAUUUUUAGAGGAGAGAUUGGAUAGGAUUUUCUGUUUACCUUAGCACGUACCAGGAGAACCCCCAUUCAUUAUUGCAACAUUGUAUCUAUACGUGCAAACAUUUAGGCAAAUGAUACAAUAUGCACAACUUUGAGAGGACAGCAGUUCUCUUUCUUCAGGCUUACUGGUUGAUGCUGUUCAACAAACCAAUGCUCCCUGGGACAUCAGAGCUCUUCCUAUAAAAAAUUUUAGAGUAAUUUCCUCUAGAAAAUUUGUGAAAAAAAAAAACCUAGGUUCACUGGGAUGUCAGUGGGAACAGUAAUAGGCCUUUUAAUUUUAUAGUUCAGCAAAAAUCCACAUUAUCUCACAGGAUUUAGCUGCUGUAUUUGAGAGCUUCUUUGGGGCCUCCAGUUCUUACACAAUAACCACAUCCUGUUUACAGAUGAGACUAUUUUGCUUAACCUCCUUCAUGUGUCCCACUCAGUCCUUCCGGCCUCUGAUGUCUGAAAUUUCUUUCCAGUGUUUUAUACCCCAGUCCAAAGUCCAAGUGUCUUGCAUAGCUGGGCAAGAAGCAGUCAGACCCAACUAGUUUGCAACAUUUUUAUUCUCAGCUAUGGCAGAGUCCAACUGUGACAGAGUCAGUGUUAAAUAUUCACAAGUUGUUUAGGCCCCAGCAGCACCAUGCAAAUCCCUGCCACCAAAUGAAUCCACUUGGCUCUGGUCUUCUUUGCCUUCCUAUUGGCUAACACUGCUAGAAAAGGAGAGAGAGGGUCACCUGCUCAUUUCUUGAUCAGUGUUCUACAGAUACCGCAUAAAUAGCCACUGUUCCUAACAGUUGUUUGAGGCCAUGGGGAACUUCUUCAUGGGGCAUGAAGUGUUGGCCUAGAUACAAAUGCGAUCCUACAGACCAAUGGUUGGUGCAGGUCAGAAUUGUUGGGUCUUUAGCCUCAAGAUAAGCACAAUAACUUAACAGAUAACUGCAGAGUGCAGUCAUCACUGUGCUUAUGAGCCUUUGGGGGGGUUUUUUUGUUUGGUUGGUUAGUUGUUUUUUAUUUGGUUUUGGGGUUUUUUUGUUUGUUUUCACUGCUGAUGCUUUUGAGAAAGGAUCACACAGGAUCACUCUUGAGGAGAAAAGACAACUCAGAAAGAAUCGUGUCUUGCAGAAUAUACCACCUAAGGAGUCUUUCUGCUGUGCCUUUUGCAACCAGACGUGUCUAUCUCAUAUUGGCCUUUUUAGCCACCAGCGCACUUGUAACAAACGUGGGUAGAGCCCUUCUCAAAUCUUUGUUCGCGAAGCCCAGCCAUAGUGACUGUACCAGCAGUUUUACCCUGAAGAAGAAAGAGAAUUAUAGUAGUUCCACAUGAAGCAGGAGUAAAAGUCCACCCAGUUAUAAUGGAUGCUAAGAUGUGGUGGAAUAAUCCAGAGCAGUGGGUAGGUAAUGAAGUGACAGGUCCAUACAUAUUGUUUGUCAUACUUUGUACAUAAGCUCCGAAAGCAUUACCAGCUGUAUCCAGAGAAGGCAGUGUACUCCAGGUGAUUUGCACACCAUAAUAAUUAUUGCAAUACUCAGCACAGAUGAGAAAUGGACCAUCAGAAGUGUCCUCAGGAUCUCUGCUUGGCCUCUAACUGCACUAAAGCUUUUGAAAGUCAGUCAAUCCAGGCUUUGAAGACUAAGAAAGAUGCUUAGCUUUUCUGAGAACUUCUUAAUGGUGCUUAGUCACUCACACUGCAGUAAGGAUUGACUGAGCCCUAGCCAAACAUUUCCUUGCUAUAAAUAGAAAGAAACUGGGAAACAUUUCUGGAGUAAUGUUAUUCAGGUUGUUCUACUCAAAUGUAUUGGACAGGGCAGUGUAACCACAGCUCCAGUGAGUUUUGGAAUCUUUCCUGCCUGCUGGGAAGCUGCUCAAGCUUUCUAGACUCAGAGCUGUUGCCAAAAAAAAUCUGUGAUUUUUUUCCCCCAAUAAUCUGCAUUGGUGACAAAUCCAGCUACAGGUGAGGUUUUUUUGAUAUUUCUGCAGCUUGAUUUGAAUAAACCAUGAACAAGAAGGAAAUUAAGAGCAUGUGUCAAUUAGCUUGUCGGUUCCUGGAAAAAAAAGCUAUGCUAGUGCUUGGGAUAACCACAAUUGGAGAUGAACUGUCUAUGGUUUGUAAAUUCACUGAUUUCAGAAACAUCCUGAUUGACCAUGGCUAUACCGAUAUGAUGAGUUUCUUCAUUUGAAGCCUGUGUGGUCUUUGGCAGGUACACAGAUCAUGGAGCAUCCUUAAUAAAAGACCUAUGGAGCAGCAUAGGACUAACAUCCUCUGUAUGGAUGUCAUCAGGCUGUAUGGACAUGGAUGGCAGAGAGAGGGCAUAUCCUACUGCCACAGAGUCUGCACCAAGAUUCCUGCACAUUCAGCUCAGAGGCUGCUGAGCUCUUUGGGCUAGAAGUCACCUUGAAGAAAACAGAAGUUUUCUAUCAACCUGCAUCUCAGGAAGUCUUUCGUCAUCCCCAUAUCACCAUUGGUGAAUCAGAGCUCAAAUCAGUCCAGAAGUUUAAUUAUCUGGGAAGCAUCAUCUCCUCGGACGGUAAGAUUGACAGAGAGAUAGACAACAGGUUAGCAAAGGCAUAUAGUGCUUUCAGAAAAGUCCAUAAAAGAAUCUGGCAAAAUAAACACCUGAAGAAAAAUACAAAGAUCAGUGUUUACAGAGCCAUAGUGCUGUCUACUCUUUUAUAUGGUUCCAAAUCAUGGGUCAUCUACCACCACCACCUGCGUCUCCUAGAACGCUUCCAUCAAUGCUGCCUCCGUACAAUCCUAAACAUCCACUGAUCAGAUUAUGUGACCAAUACAUCUGUUCUAGAACAAGCAGCAGUUAUGAGUAUUGAGGCCAUGUUGCUGAGAACACAGCUGCGUUGGGCAGGACAUGUCUCAAGGGUGAAGGACUACUGCCUCUCUAAGAUCAUGCUCUGUGGUGAACUUGCCACUGAUUGCCACAAGAGAGGAGCCCCGAAAAGAAGAUACAAGGACUCCCUGAAACAACAUCUCAGCCUUGGCCAGAUUGAUCAACAUAACUGGUCUACUCUGGCCUCCAAUUGGGAGGCCUGGAGACACACCAUCUAUAAUGCUGCUGCUUCCAUUGAGAAUGCACACAGGAUCACUCUCGAGGAGAAAAGACAAUGUAGAAAGAAUCGUGUCUUGCCGAUACCACCCUAAGGAGUCUUUCUGCUGUGCCUUUUGCAACCGGACUUGUCUAUCUCGCAUUGGCCUUUUUAGCCACCAGCGUGCUUGUAGCAAGUGUGGGUAGAGCCCUUCCCAAAUCUUCAUUCACGAAGCCUAGCCAUGAUGAUGAUGUAUUUCUAUAUAUUUAUUAAUGGUCUUGAAAAGACACUUAAUGGCAUCUAGGUGAGAGAACUAGUCAGAAGACUUCACAAAACUAAAAAGAAUCAUAUGUCUAGCAAAAUGAAAUGCUUGUAAAUUAAAAUAUAGAGUGAGAAAAUUUCAAAUAGAAAUAUGAAUAUUUAUUUUCAAGUUUUAAAUUACCACCAUCAUGCUUGUAGAAGCUCAGGGAAAAGAUAUGUUUGGUAAUAGCAAAUAAAUAAAUUUGUUUCAGUGUACAGUCAGUGGAAUAUAUUUCUAAAAAGUUACUAAUGUAUAUUGGGUUGAGACUGAAUUUUAUCAAGCUAAACAUUAUUGGGAAAUGAAAAUAGGUUGGGAGAGUCUAACUUGUUUAGGAGAACUGUAAGAUAUUGAGAGUAAGUAUACAUCUUUGAGGAAAGAGGUGAAUCAGAGGCAACAGUUAUAUACAAAUAAUAGUGAAAAAGAGAAGAUUAUGAGGGGCAUGAAGAUUACUUUAUGAGAAGACGAUGAGUCUACUUUAUACUUGGUCAUCCAAGAAAAAAAUGAAAAAUAUUGAAUUAGGAGCUAACAAAUUAAAAAAUGACAACAGGCUAUAUCUCUUAUACUACACAAAAUGAAGUGUUGUAAUUUAAUGUAAAAAAAAUCAUCUGAGAGCUUUGAAAGAUUUUUAAAGUAGAUACUUGGAUGAUUAAUAAAAACAUCCACUGAUAAUUAGCUAACAACUUUGAAAAACAUUGCAUAUAGACAUUCAUAACCAAAUUAAUCAGAAUUUAGCUGAUAUAAGGAAGGAAUUACCUCUACAGAGGGAUCAGUUGCAUUUCUUCAUUUUGGAGGCUUUUUCUAACUUCCUGUAACUAAGUAUUGUCUGGAUUAUACACAGGAUUAUAUGGACCACUGGUUUAAUUUCAUUGGUAAACUGCUAUUCUACUCCCAAAUAAGGCAAUUUAUAUAUAUAUGUUGUGAUAGGUUUUUACUUUUGACUGAGUUUCUUUUUGUUUACAGUAUUUUUAAGUAUCUAGGUUUCCUUAUUGUUAGCAAUUCUCUCAGUUAUGUGAUUUCCCUUCAUAUCUUGGAACAGGCAUGUCCCGCCCUCUAAAUGAUAUCAAUGGGACAAUUCGUCACUUCAUAAGUAAUAUAAGUAAGAAAAAUUCCCUGUAUCAUUUAUAUGUGUUUGAGAAACCGUGUUAAACUUUAUAUAUAUUGGACAAACACAGUAUCUGACAUUUAAAAACUUACGAAUAUUUGGACAAGAAUCCUGGAAGACACUUUAAAUUCAAGAAGCACUUACACCUUGGUAUCUUUAGGAAAUUCUCACUGCAUACAAAGAAACGGCUACUUCUGUGAAAUAUUUGCAGUGUUUCAGGAUUGAAGGGAGUUGCGAAGGAUGUGCACUUUUCACUCAAAGAGCCUUUUAAAAGAACGCUGAAUGUACAUACAGUUCUUUAAAUAUUCUUUACUGUAUUAUAGGUUUAACAUGGCCAUUUGGACCCAUAAUUUUAACACCGUGUAUGAGCUUUUCAGCUGUGUUGAAAUUUGAGAGUGAACACUGUACUGGUCAUUUCACUUACCAGUUUUCAUAUUAUCAUAAUGGGAUUUUUUACCCCAAAAUAAUGCAAAUAAAUUCACCUUUGAACUAUUUGUUUCAAAGUAUGCAAAUACUAUGACUAUCUAUAUGCAUUUUAUAUUUUUUUGUUUAUUUUUAAAAUGUAAUUUAUAAGAACUGGCUUUAAUGAGUGUUUUUGUUAUGGGGAUUGAUAAUCAAAAUAAGAAGGAAAAGAGUGAAUCAAAUGCAAAUCUGAAAAAUCAGGGCAUCAUGCUCUGGAGGAUAUAAGAUUCAGGCCUUAAAGGGCAGCACUUCCCAAUGGUAGGAUCACUCAUACAAGAAAUACCUGUCACUGGAUAUGACUGAAUUCAACAUAGAUAUAAAGCAGGAGUAACUCCAUAAUUGUUUGGAUGCUACUGUGGCACAAACUAUAAAAUCCCUAACUAGAAAGAUAGAAAGGUUGGUCUUAGAUCUAUGUGUUGACUGAAGUCUGCAGCUGUCACUGAGCAAUUAACCAGGAGUUGUGCUGGAGAGCCCUCUGACUUCCCUGGAGUUGUUCUGGGCUUCCCAGAGCUUCAGUCACAAUGAGCAUCAACAUCUUAAAAGCAACUCCUCUCUUAUCCUUCAGGUAAAACUCAGUGUGGAGGUAAAAGCUGGCACGCUGUCAGAGAACAGGGCAGAAAAAAAUAUCUGCUCCCCCAAAUGCCUUUCUGCCACCAGACUUCUCUUCUGGUCUGAGCUGUCUUUUGCUGUCAAAUCUGGCAAAGGGAUGAAAAAUUGGAAUUUGUGUUUAAGGAAAAAGCUUUGGAGAGCUUAAACUCACUAUGAUAGUAGGAAUCCCCUUAAGUUUUUUGUAUAAUGCAUCAAACAAGAAGGGUCAAAAGAAAGUACAGAUAGUUCUUCUGGGAAGGGCUCAAGGAACAAAUCAAUUCUCUAGCCAUCUGGAAUCCCCUGUCUAAGUGUAAUCCCUGAAAUACACCUGUGUAGGCCAGACAUACAUUAUGGUCAAUGGUGAGAAGACCUAAAAAAUCAGGACAAUUACUUCUGAUGCUUGCUGUGAGAAGACUUUCCAUCAAGCUUAAUAUUCUGUUAGUCUGUACAGUCUGAUUAAGAUAAAAUAUAAUGAAGUCUAGAUAUGUGUCUAUACUUAGCCACCUAACACCAUUUGUGAUAAGGGAAUAGGUGCCAGGCAGGACAACAAUUUGUGAACCUGUUGGUAACCAAAGAUAGCUGGAAGGAAGAUAUAACUAUUGCAUGCUUGAGCAUGGUCAGCAUGAAAGGAGGCAUUAACAAUUCUCAGCAGUAAUAUCUCUCUGCUUAUUAGUGUGUCUUUGCUAACUUUAGUCAUCCAUGAAGAACAAUCUUAAUGAUGGUAAGAUGGUACAUAAUGAUGUAAGUCUGAAAUUUUUAAUAGAAGUUCUCUAUGUGACAAAUGAUGUAUUAACUUUGACUUGGACUGAGUCUUUAAUAUUCUGCCCAGUGAAAGAAUCUCAGGAGUCUUAUGGGUAGUACCAAAUUUACAGCCAACUUUCUGAUAAUACGAAAGAUGAAUUAGUCUUUAAAGUUUCCUCAGCUGGAUCUUGCAGCUGAUAAGGAAAUCAGUAAAUUUUGAGGGGUGAACAGCCUCCCAAAUAUGUGUGUACAUGUUUUACUUUCCUAAAUAUACCAAGAGACUGGUUGUUGCAAUCUCUGCACUGGAAAUUGUAUUUCACAGUAUGUGCAGCUGAGAAUAAUAUAAAAAAUAAACCUUUUUUUGUCUAAGGAAGCUUCCUUUCCUUUAAUAAAAUAUUGGGAAAAUGCACUUCUUAAACAGACAAUGUAAACUUAACAAAACUGGUGCCUUAAUACUCCUAUAAUAAAUGACAUUUUUUAAAUA